This 863-nucleotide ribosomal RNA is filed under the name Pseudopithomyces maydicus. Its description in RNAcentral is "partial large subunit ribosomal RNA". It matches the Rfam family "Eukaryotic large subunit ribosomal RNA", at positions 50 to 929 of the family's 3401-position model. Lineage: Eukaryota; Fungi; Ascomycota; Dothideomycetes; Pleosporales; Didymosphaeriaceae. The record is from RNAcentral.
GCGGAGGAAAAGAAAGCAACAGCGAUAGCCUCAGUAACGGCGAGUGAAGCGGCUACAGCUCAAAUUUGAAAUCUGGCCUCCUUUGGUGGUCCGAGUUGUAAUUUGCAGAGGAUGCUUUGGCAUUGGCGGCGGUCUAAGUUCCUUGGAACAGGACAUCGCAGAGGGUGAGAAUCCCGUACGUGGGCGCCUGCCUUUGCCGUGUAAAGCUCCUUCGACGAGUCGAGUUGUUUGGGAAUGCAGCUCUAAAUGGGAGGUAAAUUUCUCCUAAAGCUAAAUACCGGCCAGAGACCGAUAGCGCACAAGUAGAGUGAUCGAAAGAUGAAAAGUACUUUGGAAAGAGAGUCAAAUAGCACGUGAAAUUGUUGAAAGGGAAGCGCUUGCAGCCAGACUUGCCCGCAGUUGCUCACCCAGGCUCUCGCCUGGGGCACUCUUCUGCGGGCAGGCCAGCAUCAGUUUGGGCGGUCGGAUAAAGGCUCCUGUCAUGUACCACCCCUCGGGGUGGCCUUAUAGGGGGGGCGUAAUGCGACCAGCCCGGACUGAGGUCCGCGCAUCUGCUAGGAUGCUGGCGUAAUGGCUGUAAGCGGCCCGUCUUGAAACACGGACCAAGGAGUCUAACAUCUAUGCGAGUGUUUGGGUGUCAAGCCCGGGCGCGCAAUGAAAGUGAACGGAGGUGGGAACCUUUCGGGGUGCACCAUCGACCGAUCCUGAUGUCUUCGGAUGGAUUUGAGUAAGAGCAUAGCUGUUGGGACCCGAAAGAUGGUGAACUAUGCUUGAAUAGGGUGAAGCCAGAGGAAACUCUGGUGGAGGCUCGCAGCGGUUCUGACGUGCAAAUCGAUCGUCAAAUUUGGGCAUAGGGGCGAAAG